This is a long non-coding RNA of Strigops habroptila (Kakapo), 890 nucleotides long. RefSeq lists it as uncharacterized. The record is from RefSeq and is a predicted model, not a curated record. Lineage: Eukaryota; Metazoa; Chordata; Aves; Psittaciformes; Psittacidae. The transcript has 2 exons.
AUUUUGACAGAAACCGGAUAAAUUUUUAGCGUCAAUAGACAUAGGGAAGAAGGACCGGAUGGAGUUAGCCUCAGUGUUUAGCACUGGGUGUGCCUCCCGUCAGGAGCAGGGGAAGGAAGGGACUAUGGGCCCUUACAGCACUGCCUGCAUCACCUCUCUGCUGGAACAGGGGCAUGAGAGGGUGUAUGGUCCUGGUCUCCAUCCAUUUCUAAAGGCUGCAUUGCCCUGGCUUGGUCUUCCAUCUCGCCAAGAAAGAUGUCCUCCCCACCAUUCACCUUCUUUCCUUUUUUAAAUGAAAAAUAAUGACAACUGGAAUGUCUGGAAGUCCCAGAUGAGGAAAAGAUGGCAGCACCUUGUGCCAGAGCUUCUGUGGGGGCUUUCAUUGGUGCUGUAGCACCAAGCUUGGUAGAGGUUGGAGGGUAAGGAUCUCAAGCCUCCAGGGAGAAGAGGUCUCCACAAAAUGUAUGGUAACCCUUUGCUUGGGGCUGCUUCUCAAGAGGUGCUGUAAUCCUGCAGAAAUGUGCUGUGCUGGGGCUCUCGGUCCUGGAUCUUCUUGUGACUGAAUGCCCCACGUCUGUCUCUGGGAAGCAACAACCUUCCCCUUGAUCUCCUGUGGGGGAUCCUUCUGGUGCAGACAAGUGGCUACCGCCUUGUAUAACAUGGUAUCUGUCAAAGCCUCUAGAACAAGCUCCAGGGAUGUGGUGCAAGGCAGGGCUUCAACUGCUCAGGGCCACCCUGUUGGCAGGGAGAUGUGAAUCUCCUGGAUGUUGAGGCAUGGGUAUGCGAUUGGGCACGGAGGGGAAACACUGCUGUCAGAGAAGGACUUUCAAAGGCUUGGAAGAGCCCUGGGAGGUAUGGAUGAGAAGAGGAUCUCUUGGGUUCAGUUUACA